Long non-coding RNA from Oenanthe melanoleuca, 430 nucleotides. RefSeq lists it as uncharacterized. Lineage: Eukaryota; Metazoa; Chordata; Aves; Passeriformes; Muscicapidae. The record is from RefSeq and is a predicted model, not a curated record. The transcript is spliced from 4 exons.
AGCUGUGCCAGAGCAGUGCUGGAGGAGUGGCAAUUCCCAGCACUUGCUGAUCUCAUGGAUUUGGCAUUUCAUGAGACAGAACACGAGGUCUCUGCUGGACUUGGGAAGGCACACUCACAUUGGUGGUAUUGACUAACAGGUACAUCAAUCCCUCUUAGAAAUGUAUGCCUCAAGAGAAAGAUUCUCAGCUUCCUCCUAACCUGGUGCUCGGGAUGGAAACUCUUCCAUUGUCACUUUGAUGUCACAGAUGUUUGUGGCCCUCAAGGAAUCUGGCAAAGGCUGUGGCUUCUGCUCUGCAUCCUGUCUGGUCAACUUAGAGUCAAUCCCCAUAACACCCACUCCAACAAAAGACUUCUCAGGCCCAUAGCAAAAUGUUGCUGGCACUGAGUUGAAGACUCUGUUACAAAAUCAGAGGAUUUCUUGAAAAAAA